This 374-nucleotide ribosomal RNA is filed under the name uncultured organism. RNAcentral's name for it is "partial 16S ribosomal RNA". It matches the Rfam family "Bacterial small subunit ribosomal RNA", at positions 527 to 896 of the family's 1533-position model. The record is from RNAcentral.
GGGGGGGCGAAGCGUUGUUCGGAAUUACUGGGCGUAAAGGGCGCGCAGGCGGGCGGGAAAGUCUCUCGUGAAAGCCCACGGCUCAACCGUGGAAUUGCGGGAGAUACUACUCGUCUUGAGUCCGGGAGAGGAGUGUGGAAUUCCCAGUGUAGCGGUGAAAUGCGUAGAUAUUGGGAGGAACACCGGUGGCGAAGGCGGCACUCUGGACCGGUACUGACGCUGAGGCGCGAAAGCUAGGGGAGCAAACGGGAUUAGAUACCCCGGUAGUCCUGGCUGUAAACGCUGAGCACUUGGUGUAGCGGGUAUCGACCCCCCUGCUGUGCCGAAGCUAACGCAUUAAGUGCUCCGCCUGGGGGAGUACGGUCGCAAGGCUG